UACGUAGGUGGCAAGCGUUGUCCGGAAUUACUGGGUGUAAGGGGAGCGCGGGCGGGAAGCCAAGUCAGCUGUGAAAACUACGGGCUUAACUUGUAGACUGCAGUUGAAACUGGUUUUCUUGAGUGAAGUAGAGGUUGGCGGAAUUCCGAGUGUAGCGGUGAAAUGCGUAGAUAUUCGGAGGAACACCGGUGGCGAAGGCGGCCAACUGGGCUUUAACUGACGCUGAGGCUCGAAAGUGUGGGGAGCAAACAGG
RNAcentral lists this ribosomal RNA (253 nucleotides) under uncultured bacterium. Its description in RNAcentral is "partial 16S ribosomal RNA". It matches the Rfam family "Bacterial small subunit ribosomal RNA", at positions 524 to 776 of the family's 1533-position model. The record is from RNAcentral.